UACGUAGGGGGCUAGCGUUGUCCGGAAUCAUUGGGCGUAAAGCGCGUGUAGGCGGUCCGGUAAGUCCGCUGUGAAAGUCGGGGGCUCAACCCUCGAAUGCCGGUGGAUACUGUCGGGCUAGAGUGCGGAAGAGGCGAGUGGAAUUCCGGGUGUAGCGGUGGAAUGCGUAGAGAUCCGGAAGAACACCAGGGGCGAAGGCGGCCUGCUGGGCAGUUGCUGACACUGAAUCGCGACAGCGUGGGGAGCAAACAGG
Molecule: ribosomal RNA, 253 nt
Filed under: uncultured bacterium
Lineage: Bacteria
Description: partial 16S ribosomal RNA
Rfam family: Bacterial small subunit ribosomal RNA
Source: RNAcentral